GACUGGAUAGCCUAGUGGUAAAGGCAACACUCUAGCAUGUGUCUCAGCUAAUACUGAGGUCCCAGGUUCAAAUCCUGGUCUAGUCA
Molecule: transfer RNA, 86 nt
Organism: Melampsora larici-populina 98AG31
Lineage: Eukaryota; Fungi; Basidiomycota; Pucciniomycetes; Pucciniales; Melampsoraceae
Rfam family: tRNA
About the family: Transfer RNA (tRNA) molecules are approximately 80 nucleotides in length. Their secondary structure includes four short double-helical elements and three loops (D, anti-codon, and T loops).
Source: Rfam